This 253-nucleotide ribosomal RNA is filed under the name uncultured prokaryote. RNAcentral's name for it is "partial 16S ribosomal RNA". It matches the Rfam family "Bacterial small subunit ribosomal RNA", at positions 522 to 774 of the family's 1533-position model. The record is from RNAcentral.
AAUACGUAGGGUGCGAGCGUUGUCCGGAAUUAUUGGGCGUAAAGGGCUCGUAGGCGGUUUGUCGCGUCGGGAGUGAAAAUCCAGGGCUUAACUCUGGACUGGCUUCCGAUACGGGCAGACUAGAGGUAUGCAGGGGAGAACGGAAUUCCUGGUGUAGCGGUGAAAUGCGCAGAUAUCAGGAGGAACACCGGUGGCGAAGGCGGUUCUCUGGGCAUUACCUGACGCUGAGGAGCGAAAGUGUGGGGAGCGAACA